This 168-nucleotide non-coding RNA is filed under the name Gracilibacillus kekensis. Its description in RNAcentral is "GlcN6P sequence". It matches the Rfam family "glmS glucosamine-6-phosphate activated ribozyme aptamer". From Rfam's summary of the family: This entry contains a glucosamine-6-phosphate activated ribozyme that is found in the mRNA for GlmS. GlmS is an enzyme that uses fructose-6-phosphate and glutamine to generate glucosamine-6-phosphate. The ribozyme catalyses self cleavage of the glmS mRNA that is thought to regulate GlmS activity. Lineage: Bacteria; Bacillati; Bacillota; Bacilli; Caryophanales; Bacillaceae. The record is from Rfam by way of RNAcentral.
UAUUACUGUAAAGCGCCAGGGCUAUGACGUCCGAAACAAUCAUAGCUGACGAGGAGGAGGUUUAUCGAGUUUGAUCGGCGGAUGCCUCCCGGUUGUACAUCUCAACCGAAUGUGUUUAUUCGAAAGCAAAAAGGCAACUUUUUGUACAAGAAUAAAGACUAGAUGCCA